GCAGGAUUAGUGUAACGGUAGCACGCAAGUUUUCAAUACUUGAUUGAAGAAGCCAAUCUUCGGCGCGGGUUCGACUCCCGUAUCCUGCUC
This 90-nucleotide transfer RNA is filed under the name Bacteroidia bacterium. RNAcentral describes it as "tRNA-Sec". It matches the Rfam family "tRNA". From Rfam's summary of the family: Transfer RNA (tRNA) molecules are approximately 80 nucleotides in length. Their secondary structure includes four short double-helical elements and three loops (D, anti-codon, and T loops). Lineage: Bacteria; Pseudomonadati; Bacteroidota; Bacteroidia. The record is from RNAcentral.